AUGAACGCUGGCGGCGUGCCUAACACAUGCAAGUCGAGCGAACGGACGAGAAGCUUGCUUCUCUGAUGUUAGCGGCGGACGGGUGAGUAACACGUGGAUAACCUACCUAUAAGACUGGGAUAACUUCGGGAAACCGGAGCUAAUACCGGAUAAUAUUUUGAACCGCAUGGUUCAAAAGUGAAAGACGGUCUUGCUGUCACUUAUAGAUGGAUCCGCGCUGCAUUAGCUAGUUGGUAAGGUAACGGCUUACCAAGGCAACGAUGCAUAGCCGACCUGAGAGGGUGAUCGGCCACACUGGAACUGAGACACGGUCCAGACUCCUACGGGAGGCAGCAGUAGGGAAUCUUCCGCAAUGGGCGAAAGCCUGACGGAGCAACGCCGCGUGAGUGAUGAAGGUCUUCGGAUCGUAAAACUCUGUUAUUAGGGAAGAACAUAUGUGUAAGUAACUGUGCACAUCUUGACGGUACCUAAUCAGAAAGCCACGGCUAACUACGUG
This 496-nucleotide ribosomal RNA is filed under the name uncultured bacterium. RNAcentral describes it as "partial 16S ribosomal RNA". It matches the Rfam family "Bacterial small subunit ribosomal RNA", at positions 29 to 507 of the family's 1533-position model. The record is from RNAcentral.